This 253-nucleotide ribosomal RNA is filed under the name uncultured bacterium. RNAcentral's name for it is "partial 16S ribosomal RNA". It matches the Rfam family "Bacterial small subunit ribosomal RNA", at positions 524 to 776 of the family's 1533-position model. The record is from RNAcentral.
GCCGUAGGGCGCGAGCGUUGUCCGGAUUUAUUGGGCGUAAAGAGCUCGUAGGCGGCUUGUCGCGUCGUUCGUGAAAACCCGGGGCUCAACUCCGGGCUUGCGGGCGAUACGGGCAGGCUAGAGUUCGGUAGGGGAGACUGGAAUUCCUGGUGUAGCGGUGGAAUGCGCAGAUAUCAGGAGGAACACCGGUGGCGAAGGCGGGAUCCUGGGCCAGUACUGACGCUGAGGAGCGAAAGCGUGGGGAGCAAACAGG